GGGAUUGUAGCUCAGUGGUUGAGCGCUUGCCUCUCAUGCGUGAGGAACUGGGUUCCAUCCUCAGCACCA
Non-coding RNA from Ictidomys tridecemlineatus (thirteen-lined ground squirrel), 69 nucleotides. The record is from Rfam. NCBI's taxonomy places the organism in Eukaryota, Metazoa, Chordata, Mammalia, Rodentia, Sciuridae.